This 45-nucleotide non-coding RNA is filed under the name Schistosoma mattheei. Lineage: Eukaryota; Metazoa; Platyhelminthes; Trematoda; Strigeidida; Schistosomatidae. The record is from RNAcentral.
AUCCAGAUGACGAGUCCCAAACAGGAUGAAACGUGCAUCCUGGAU